GCAAGGAAAGGACUUGAAAAGGCAGAAUGGAGAUAAAUGAAUGAAAGUAAUUUUAUGAGGAAUGGCCACGCGUUGUGCUAGACCUGACUGAAAUCCUUCUCCGGAGUUCAGGCGAGAGGAGCCGGGAACACAGAUCGUGAGGAGUUAUUUGUCCCUGAAGCCUGAAGAUAGAAAGGCAAAGGCAGCACCUGAAAGUGUUCAGGGACUAUUGGGUUUCAAAGCCCUUGGUUAUCUUCAGUCCCUGCGCUGUCUGGCUGUGAAUUACUGCUGGCCAAAGAUUUAGCAUCCCUCCAUUUGCAUGACAGGAACCAGACAGGCUCCAAAUCAUCGGAGACAGAGCUGGCCAAGCUGAGACAACCCUGUGAAGGUCAUCAGGAGUCUGCUGGAAGUGUCUGCACAGGGGGUUGGGGCAGAUGGCCUGGAGCCCAACCCAUCUGUGCUAACAGCAGCUCGAACACACCCAGUCCCUCCUGCAGGAGUGUGGCAGCAGCAGAACAGGUAUUUCUGGUGGAGGAAAUGGUUUGCUGGCUGCACCAGGCUUUUCCUGAGGGGUUGGUAAUGUUUUCCAAGAGUUGGUGUGGGAUGGCUCUGCAGGAGAUGCUGGGUGAGGAACAGCCCAGAAAACAACCUCAGUCUCUCCAUCCAUCAUCCUGGAUGUAAACAUCCAUCUGAUUCCUCCCUGUGUGUCCUGGGAGCUGUGGUUUCCCUUUGCAGUCCCCAGGGGAGGUGUCUGCAGGGGAUGGGGAGCAGGGGGAAUGUGCAGGGCUCUCCAAAGGUCAGCGAUGAAGGACUGACAGAGCACGGACACUUCUCCCUCCUUGGUGAUGCUCAGGGUGGAAUCACGGGAUUGUUAAGGUUGGAAGAGGUCUCCAAACCCAUGGAGUCCAAGCAUUAACCCAGCACUGCCUGCUCACCACUCACCCAUGUCCCUCAGCACAUUUUUGGAGCUCUUGCAGAGAUGGUGAUUCCCAUGCCUGACAACACUUUCCAUGAAGAAAUUGUUCCUAGUAUUGAAAUAAACUUUCCCUGGUGCAACUUGGAGCCUUUUCC
This 1050-nucleotide long non-coding RNA is filed under the name Cyanistes caeruleus (blue tit). RNAcentral describes it as "lncRNA (ENSCCEG00000011071.1)". Lineage: Eukaryota; Metazoa; Chordata; Aves; Passeriformes; Paridae. The record is from RNAcentral.